AGUGAACGCUGGCGGUAGGCCUAACACAUGCAAGUCGAACGGCAGCACAGCAAGAGCUUGCUCUUACGGGUGGCGAGUGGCGGACGGGUGAGGAAUACAUCGGAAUCUACUUUUUCGUGGGGGAUAACGUAGGGAAUCUUACGCUAAUACCGCAUACGACCUACGGGUGAAAGCAGGGGAUCUUCGGACCUUGCGCGAUUGAAUGAGCCGAUGUCGGAUUAGCUAGUUGGCGGGGUAAAGGCCCACCAAGGCGACGAUCCGUAGCUGGUCUGAGAGGAUGAUCAGCCACACUGGAACUGAGACACGGUCCAGACUCCUACGGGAGGCAGCAGUGGGGAAUAUUGGACAAUGGGCGCAAGCCUGAUCCAGCCAUACCGCGUGGGUGAAGAAGGCCUUCGGGUUGUAAAGCCCUUUUGUUGGGAAAGAAAAGCAGCAGGUUAAUACCCCGCUGUUCUGACGGUACCCAAAGAAUAAGCACCGGCUAACUUCGUG
This 492-nucleotide ribosomal RNA is filed under the name uncultured bacterium. RNAcentral's name for it is "partial 16S ribosomal RNA". It matches the Rfam family "Bacterial small subunit ribosomal RNA", at positions 29 to 507 of the family's 1533-position model. The record is from RNAcentral.